AUGAUCUUAUGCUGGUUGCCUGGUUCUCAUUGUCGUCCUAGCUGUCUAGUUAGUAAGCAGAACUCUGUUAGAGUAAAGCUAGCUGGGAAAUCUGUUUCAGUAUUGUUACCCAACAGACUUAGGCCUAGAUAUAUUAGUUGUAAAUUCAUUAGCUCCAUGUAUCGCAUUAGUUUCGAUGCAAAACACAAGCUGCAAUGUGCCAACUCUUGUCGACAUGUCUAUAUCAGUAUAAAAAUGGUACAUGGUGUUCCUGAUGCUAUUCCUUCUUAUUUUCUGCAGGAGAGGCUGGCAUUUGACAAUAUGGUUCUGUGUGUGCAUUGA
RNAcentral lists this ribosomal RNA (321 nucleotides) under Triticum aestivum (bread wheat). RNAcentral's name for it is "partial small subunit ribosomal RNA". The record is from RNAcentral. Lineage: Eukaryota; Viridiplantae; Streptophyta; Magnoliopsida; Poales; Poaceae.